AUCUAUAGCUCCACAAUGUCCGCCUUCACCUCCUCAGUCUACUUGAAGAUGUUACUAACCUCAAGCCUGUUCUAUCGGAGGAGUCUGUGUCUAGCUAGUUUCAAUCUCUGAGACACCCAGUACCGUACAUCCUCAUGAAUCAGUAUUCUCCAUACCUCCCUAAUCAAAUCCCAUGAUUUCAGAUAGAAAAUUCAGAACUUCUUAAAUCUGAACGGGCCCCUAGAUAUAUGC
RNAcentral lists this long non-coding RNA (231 nucleotides) under Elaeis guineensis (African oil palm). RNAcentral's name for it is "long non-coding RNA (EGUI_LNC003233)". Lineage: Eukaryota; Viridiplantae; Streptophyta; Magnoliopsida; Arecales; Arecaceae. The record is from RNAcentral.